GACGAACGCUGGCGGCGUGCUUAACACAUGCAAGUCGAACGGAAAGGCCCUGCUUUUGUGGGGUGCUCGAGUGGCGAACGGGUGAGUAACACGUGAGUAACCUGCCCUUGACUUUGGGAUAACUUCAGGAAACUGGGGCUAAUACCGUAUAGGAGCUCCUGCUGCAUGGUGGGGGUUGGAAAGUUUCGGCGGUUGGGGAUGGACGCGCGGCUUAUCAGCUUGUUGGUGGGGUAGUGGCUUACCAAGGCUUUGACGGGUAGCCGGCCUGUGAGGGUGACCGGCCACAUUGGGACUGAGAUACGGCCCAGACUCCUACGGGAGGCAGCAGUGGGGAAUAUUGCACAAUGGGCGGAAGCCUGUUGCAGCAACGCCGCGUGCGGGAUGACGGCCUUCGGGUUGUAAACCGCUUUCGCCUGUGACGAAGCGUGAGUGACGGUAAUGGGUAAAGAAGCACCGGCUAACUACGUG
This 468-nucleotide ribosomal RNA is filed under the name uncultured bacterium. RNAcentral's name for it is "partial 16S ribosomal RNA". It matches the Rfam family "Bacterial small subunit ribosomal RNA", at positions 28 to 507 of the family's 1533-position model. The record is from RNAcentral.